AUCUAUAACCAUAUCACCUUGAAUUGGCCUGAUCUUGUCUGAUCUCAGAAGCUAAGGAUGGUUGGCCCUGGUUAGUAUUCGGAUAGGAGACACCAUGGGAAUGCCAGGUGCUAUUUUGG
Molecule: ribosomal RNA, 119 nt
Filed under: Monodelphis domestica (gray short-tailed opossum)
Lineage: Eukaryota; Metazoa; Chordata; Mammalia; Didelphimorphia; Didelphidae
Source: RNAcentral